This 253-nucleotide ribosomal RNA is filed under the name uncultured bacterium. Its description in RNAcentral is "partial 16S ribosomal RNA". It matches the Rfam family "Bacterial small subunit ribosomal RNA", at positions 524 to 776 of the family's 1533-position model. The record is from RNAcentral.
UACAGAGGGUGCUAGCGUUGUUCGGAAUCAUUGGGCGUAAAGGGCGUGUAGGCGGUUUGUUAAGUCAUGUGUGAAAUCCCUCGGCUCAACCGGGGAACGACGCAUGAAACUGGCAAGCUAGAGUACCAAAGAGGGGGGUGGAAUUCCCGGUGUAGUGGUGGAAUGCGUAGAGAUCCGGAGGAACACCAGCGGCGAAGGCGGCAUCCUGGACUGGUCCUGACACUCAUGAGCGAAAGCGUGGGGAGCGAUCCGG